AGCGGAAACAUCAGAGCAGAAACUCAGUGCAGUGAUGUCAGUGUUUAAAAUAAACGUUGUCCCGUCAUUCUCAGAUAAAACGUUGAUCCUGUUUCAGACGGCUCCAUUUCUCUAGAGACGUUGCAGAGGCAGCAUGUUAUGAAAGGAAGAUUAUUGGACCAAAGCAGAGCAACACAUGGUUCCAGGUUGAGGUCAGGAUGGGGAACACCUCACCCAGGGUUCUGCUCUCACUCUUGCUGAACACACUGCUCUGCUGUGGACAAACUCUCGAUCCUGUGCUGACUGUUGAGUCGAACUGGUCGACUUUUUAUGAUGGAGAGUUUGUUACAUUUAACUGUAACAUGAAUAAAGCGAGAGACACUGACUGGUACCAGUUAAAAAGGAAUGGUCUAGAUUUAUUUCCCUAUCAGUCAGCUGAACGUUUCAGAGUUGGUCCUCUGCAUACUGGUGAUAGUGGUGAAUUUCAGUGCUGUGUUCGCCGGACGGCUUCAUCUUAUGAAAAGUGCAGUAAAACUGUCACUGUUACUUUCUCAGGUAAGACCUGAAUAUUUUAAAGAAUUACAAAGUUUUAUAUCAGCCCUAAAAAAACAUGCAUUUUCUAACUGUAUUUUAUUUCAUAAUUUCAAGCAGAUUUUUUUGUUGAUAAAAUAGUGUCUGAAAUAUGACACAUACAUGAUUACUGGGUUUAAUUUUUAUAAAGUUAAGUGAGCCACAAAUUUUAGAAAAGACCAAUAAAACAAAGGAAAUAUUAUUUAACUUAAUGUUAAUGAUUUGCUUAAUUGUAGAGUUACAUUAU
Xiphophorus hellerii (green swordtail) is the source of this 796-nucleotide long non-coding RNA. RefSeq lists it as uncharacterized. The transcript has 3 exons. Lineage: Eukaryota; Metazoa; Chordata; Actinopteri; Cyprinodontiformes; Poeciliidae. The record is from RefSeq and is a predicted model, not a curated record.